Rana temporaria (common frog) is the source of this 227-nucleotide long non-coding RNA. RefSeq lists it as uncharacterized. Lineage: Eukaryota; Metazoa; Chordata; Amphibia; Anura; Ranidae. The record is from RefSeq and is a predicted model, not a curated record. The transcript is spliced from 3 exons.
CGUCAUGAUGGACAAUCAGCCGCCCCUCACAUCACCGGAUGGAUCAAGUAAUGGGAACCCGCCAGAGAUAUGUCCCCGUCCUCUGUAUUCCCGGGAUUCCACACAGGAAGGUCACACCAUCCCCCACCAUCAUCAGAGUGGAAAUCUCUGGGAUGAUAAUAUUGUUGUUAAAGAAGAGUAUAAAGAGGAGGAUGAGGAGUAUGGAGUGAUGGAGGAGUUAUCAGAAG